AGAGUUUGAUCCUGGCUCAGAUUGAACGCUGGCGGAAUGCUUUACACAUGCAAGUCGAACGGCAGCACGGGAGCUUGCUCCUGGUGGCGAGUGGCGAACGGGUGAGUAAUACCUAGGAACAUGUCCAGUAAUGGGGGAUAACGCAGCGAAAGCUGUGCUAAUACCGCAUACGCCCCACGGGGGAAAGCGGGGGAUUCGCAAGAACCUCGCGUUAUUGGAGUGGCCUAGGCCUGAUCAGCUAGUUGGUGAGGUAAAGGCUCACCAAGGCGACGAUCAGUAGCUGGUCUGAGAGGAUGAUCAGCCACACUGGACUGAGACACGCC
RNAcentral lists this ribosomal RNA (323 nucleotides) under uncultured bacterium. Its description in RNAcentral is "bacterial SSU rRNA". It matches the Rfam family "Bacterial small subunit ribosomal RNA", at positions 8 to 332 of the family's 1533-position model. The record is from RNAcentral.